Molecule: ribosomal RNA, 497 nt
Filed under: uncultured bacterium
Lineage: Bacteria
Description: partial 16S ribosomal RNA
Rfam family: Bacterial small subunit ribosomal RNA
Source: RNAcentral
GAUGAACGCUGGCGGCGUGCCUAAUACAUGCAAGUCGAGCGAACGGACGAGAAGCUUGCUUCUCUGAUGUUAGCGGCGGACGGGUGAGUAACACGUGGAUAACCUACCUAUAAGACUGGGAUAACUUCGGGAAACCGGAGCUAAUACCGGAUAAUAUUUUGAACCGCAUGGUUCAAAAGUGAAAGACGGUCUUGCUGUCACUUAUAGAUGGAUCCGCGCUGCAUUAGCUAGUUGGUAAGGUAACGGCUUACCAAGGCAACGAUGCAUAGCCGACCUGAGAGGGUGAUAGGCCACCCUGGAACGUGGACACGGUCCAGACUACUACGGGAGGGACCAGUAGGGAAUCUUACGCAACGGGCGAAAGCCUGACAGAGAAACGGCGCGUGAGUGAUGAAGGUCCUCGGAUCGUAAAAACCUGUUAUUAGGGAAGAACAUAUGUGUAAGUAACUGUGCACAUCUUGACGGUACCUAAUCAGAAAGCCACGGCUAACUACGUG